Long non-coding RNA from Saccostrea cuccullata (small rock oyster), 546 nucleotides. RefSeq lists it as uncharacterized. Lineage: Eukaryota; Metazoa; Mollusca; Bivalvia; Ostreida; Ostreidae. The record is from RefSeq and is a predicted model, not a curated record. The transcript is spliced from 3 exons.
UGUACUUAUUGGGUACUUUUUGCUUAUUGGGUAUACCCAAUAAGAAGUGUCGCUGAAUAUGCUUAAAACACCCUAAUUGGGUAUUCGCAGGUUAGUACCCAACAAAACUUGGACAUGACGAUUUGUCCAAAAAAAGUGUCCAAAAAAGUUGCUUUCACGGACGCACCGUGUUUUGUGUUUCAGUUUUACAUUCGGAACUCUAAAUUCUCGAGAGUUCCGAAAAUCAACUUCCGUUGAUCCUGAUCAUAACAACGUUUGUUUUCAUGGAAAAAAAUAUGGCGACUAAGAAACACUUAAUGUCAACAAGAUUGUCUGAUUGACAAGAGAAAAGGUCAAACAGGAACUUCAGUUGUGAACAUUGCAGAGAACACACUCAUCAGAAGGUGACCCUCAGAAAUAGGACAAUCAAUGAAUAAAAAGGACAGAGGCAGAUUUGAAGGAGAUGCAUGAAAUGAGGAAUAUUUCAAAAAUUGCCUGAGCACAACCACUGCUACUGGAUAAACAUAUGGCAAUAUAAAAGAGCAGGGUCAAUGGAGGUAUCAUACA